AGAGUUUGAUCCUGGCUCAGAAUCAACGCUGGCGGCGUGCCUAACACAUGCAAGUCGAACGAGAAAGGGGAGCAAUCCCUGAGUAAAGUGGCGACCGGGUGAGUAACACGUGACUAACCUACCUUCGAGUGGGGGAUAACCUCGGGAAACCGGGGCUAAUACCGCAUAAUGCCUUCGGGUUAAAGGAGCAAUUCGCUUGAAGAGGGGGUCGCGGCUGAUUAGCUAGUUGGCGGGGUAACGGCCCACCAAGGCGAUGAUCGGUAGCCGGCCUGAGAGGGCGCACGGCCACACUGGAACUGAAACACGGUCCAGACUCCUACGGGAGGCAGCAGUGGGGAAUUUUGCGCAAUGGGGGAAACCCUGACGCAGCAACGCCGCGUGGAGGAUGAAGUCCCUUGGGACGUAAACUCCUUUCGACCGGGACGAUAAUGACGGUACCG
Molecule: ribosomal RNA, 440 nt
Filed under: uncultured bacterium
Lineage: Bacteria
Description: bacterial SSU rRNA
Rfam family: Bacterial small subunit ribosomal RNA
Source: RNAcentral